Molecule: ribosomal RNA, 482 nt
Filed under: Ureibacillus antri
Lineage: Bacteria; Bacillati; Bacillota; Bacilli; Caryophanales; Caryophanaceae
Description: Lysinibacillus sp. SYSU K30002 partial 23S ribosomal RNA
Rfam family: Bacterial large subunit ribosomal RNA
Source: RNAcentral
AAGAAAUCAACCGAGAUUCUGUAAGUAGCGGCGAGCGAAAGCGGAAGAGCCUGUUAGUGAUAAUGGUUUUGUUAGGAGAAUGAGCUGGGAAGCUCAAUCGUAGAGGGUGAUAAUCCCGUAUCCGAAAACAUUAUUAUGGUACUAAGCUAACGACAAGUAGGGCGGGACACGAGAAAUCCUGUUUGAAGAUGGGGGGACCAUCCUCCAAGGCUAAAUACUCCUGAUUGACCGAUAGUGAACCAGUACUGUGAAGGAAAGGCGAAAAGAACCCCGGCGAGGGGAGUGAAAAAGAACCUGAAACCGUGUACGUACAAGCAGUGGGAGCACGCUUAGGCGUGUGACUGCGUACCUUUUGUAUAAUGGGUCAGCGACUUAUAUUCUGUAGCAAGGUUAACCGAAUAGGGGAGCCGAAGGGAAACCGAGUCUUAACUGGGCGUUAAGUUGCAGGGUAUAGACCCGAAACCCGGUGAUCUAGCCAUGAG